Molecule: long non-coding RNA, 372 nt
Organism: Talpa occidentalis (Iberian mole)
Lineage: Eukaryota; Metazoa; Chordata; Mammalia; Eulipotyphla; Talpidae
Exons: 3
Source: RefSeq, a predicted model, not a curated record
CUGAAAGAGGAUAGAAGCCAGAAUUGGAGGAAGCUGAGAGGAGAGAUGAUACCAGCUGUGGAACAGAAGAGAUGACUUCAGCCCCUGAACAGGACAGACGGUUCCAGCCUCUGAAGAAGGAAAGACGACAGUUCCAGCCUCCAAAAGAAGAAGAAAGAAAGGGAAGACUCCACUCCUGGCCUCCAAAGAAAGAAAAGAAAAGAGCAAAGAGAGAAGCACACUGAUGGCAGCAGAGAUGAGAGAGUUCCAGCCAAAUCAGUGUAAGGGUUCUUUGCAUGGGCUUCUUCAGCAAUGGACGCUGACAAUUUGUGGACCCAAUCUUAAGAAAGCAGGUGAUGAAUUGAGGGCCUCCCCAGUGGCACAGCGGUUGAG